UUUGAUCCUGGCUCAGAUUGAACGCUGGCGGCAGGCCUAACACAUGCAAGUCGAACGGUAACAUUUCUAGCUUGCUAGAAGAUGACGAGUGGCGGACGGGUGAGUAAUGCUUGGGAACUUGCCUUUGCGAGGGGGAUAACAGUUGGAAACGACUGCUAAUACCGCAUAAUGUCUACGGACCAAACGGGGCUUCGGCUCCGGCGCAAAGAGAGGCCCAAGUGAGAUUAGCUAGUUGGUAAGGUAACGGCUUACCAAGGCGACGAUCUCUAGCUGUUCUGAGAGGAAGAUCAGCCACACUGGGACUGAGACACGGCCCAGACUCCUACGGGAGGCAGCAGUGGGGAAUAUUGCACAAUGGGGGAAACCCUGAUGCAGCCAUGCCGCGUGUGUGAAGAAGGCCUUCGGGUUGUAAAGCACUUUCAGUUGUGAGGAAAAGUUAGUAGUUAAUACC
RNAcentral lists this ribosomal RNA (451 nucleotides) under HMWdDNA-degrading marine bacterium 33. RNAcentral describes it as "bacterial SSU rRNA". It matches the Rfam family "Bacterial small subunit ribosomal RNA", at positions 12 to 468 of the family's 1533-position model. The record is from RNAcentral.